Molecule: unclassified non-coding RNA, 344 nt
Filed under: soil metagenome
Description: partial contains 5.8S ribosomal RNA, internal transcribed spacer 2, and large subunit ribosomal RNA
Rfam family: 5.8S ribosomal RNA (bases 1-120)
Source: RNAcentral
GAUGAAGAACGUAGCGAAAUGCGAUAAGUAAUGUGAAUUGCAGAAUUCCGUGAAUCAUCGAAUCUUUGAACGCACAUUGCGCCCUCUGGUAUUCCGGGGGGCAUGCCUGUCCGAGCGUCAUUUGCAACCCUCAAGCCCGGCUUGUGUGAUGGGUGCCGUCCCCUACGGGACGCGCCCCGAAGGCAAUGGCGGCGUCGCGGUUAUCCGAUCAGCCAAAGUGUAUGGGGCUUUGUCACUCACUUUACGGCCCGGACCGGCGCCAGUCCGAAUCAAUCUUUUUUCUAAAGUUGACCUCGGAUCAGGUAGGGAUACCCGCUGAACUUAAGCAUAUAAUAAGCGGAGGA